This 460-nucleotide ribosomal RNA is filed under the name uncultured bacterium. RNAcentral describes it as "partial 16S ribosomal RNA". It matches the Rfam family "Bacterial small subunit ribosomal RNA", at positions 338 to 795 of the family's 1533-position model. The record is from RNAcentral.
CCUACGGGAGGCAGCAGUGAGGAAUAUUGGUCAAUGGCCGUAAGGCUGAACCAGCCAAGUCGCGUGAAGGAAGAAGGAUCUAUGGUUUGUAAACUUCUUUUAUAGGGGAAUAAAGGUAUCCACGUGUGGAUCUUUGCAUGUACCCUAUGAAUAAGCAUCGGCUAACUCCGUGCCAGCAGCCGCGGUAAUACGGAGGAUGCGAGCGUUAUCCGGAUUUAUUGGGUUUAAAGGGUGCGUAGGUUGUUUUUUAAGUCAGAGGUGAAAGUUUGUGGCUCAACCAUAAAAUUGCCGUUGAAACUGGAAGACUUGAGUGUGUUUGAGGUAGGCGGAAUGCGUGGUGUAGCGGUGAAAUGCAUAGAUAUCACGAAGAACUCCGAUUGCGAAGGCAGCUUACUAAGCCAUAACUGACACUGAAGCACGAAAGCGUGGGGAUCAAACAGGAUUAGAUACCCCUGUAGUC